GCUCCAAGCAGAACGCCUCCCUGGCCAUUGCCAAGGAUGAGGGGGCCAUGGAUUUGCUCUUCCGCCUCCGCGGGAACGGCGAUUACUGGCUCGGGCUGCGCAGACGGGGCCAGCGCCUGCACUGGGGGGACGGCAGCAGCUACAGCUCCCGGGUUCCUGUCCUCGGCAAUUCCGACUGCGUGUACCUGGCUGACGAUAAAUUCAGGAGCGAGUUCUGCUCCAAUCCGCGGCCGUAUCUCUGCAGCAAGGCCCAAGCUCCCCUGUGACGGGGGCUGCAGAAAGGACCUUCUCCACGCUGGGCAGUGCCAGCUUCCCCUCUCAGCGCAGCCCAGGGCUGUCCUUCCUCAGCUGCACCCUGUGCCUUGCACUGCCUCUCAGGGUCACCUCAGUGCCUGUCCAUCCCCAGAGCCAGCGCUGGGCUGGGGCUGCAAAGGAAACGUCUCUGCAAUCCAUCCUGCCACCCAUGCUGCCUGCAGGGUGUGCAGUGCCCUCAUUAUGUGAGAGAGACACGGCUCAGUAUUUACUCUUUUUAUAAGAGUCUGUUAAGCGUUAAAAUCCCAUCCUGGCAUACUUGGCUUUUUGCUCAUAGGUAACUUGAAUGAUAUUCUGUGUGCAGUGACAUGGAGCAUGCAUGUUUAUCAAGUUUUUAAUAAUUCAAGUGUAACAGUGAAUUUCUAUCAUGUUUUGCUAGUUUUUAAGUUAUGACUUGCGUUAGGCUAUUUUGUACAAUAAACUAAUAUAUUUUCUUUU
Molecule: long non-coding RNA, 750 nt
Organism: Motacilla alba alba
Lineage: Eukaryota; Metazoa; Chordata; Aves; Passeriformes; Motacillidae
Exons: 3
Source: RefSeq, a predicted model, not a curated record